AGAGGAAUAGCUGGACCAAAUGGUGGUUCCAUACCCAGUUUUCCAAGGAAUCUCCAUACUGCUUUCCAAAUUGGCUGCACCAAUUUGCAGUCCCAUCAGCAAU
RNAcentral lists this microRNA precursor (103 nucleotides) under Marmota monax (woodchuck). The record is from RNAcentral. Lineage: Eukaryota; Metazoa; Chordata; Mammalia; Rodentia; Sciuridae.